AGAGAUGUGUGAUGACGCAUAUCAAUAAGCGGAGGAAAAGAAACUAACUAAGGAUUCCCUUAGUAACGGCGAGUGAAGCGGGAAGAGCUCAAAUUUGAAAUCUUCAAGGUUUUACCUUGACGAAUUGUAGUUUAAAGAAGUGUUUUCUGUUGGAGUUUUGGUAAAAGUUCUUUGGAAUAGGACAUCAUAGAGGGUGGGAAUCCCGUAUUUGACCAUUAUUUUCAGCUGUGUGAUACACUUUCAAAGAGUCGGAUUGUUUGGGAAUGCAGUCCAAAAUGGGUGGUAAAUUUCAUCUAAAGCUAAAUAUUGGCGAGAGACCGAUAGCGAACAAGUACCGUGAGGGAAAGAUGAAAAGAACUUUGAAAAGAGAGUUAAACAGUACGUGAAAUUGUCAAAAGGGAAGCGUUUGACACCAGUGUUGUCUUUCCGAAAAUCAAUUACGAAUGUUUUAUUUUUGAGAAGUUAUGACUUCAUCGGCUUGCUUCUCUCUUUAUGAAACUUUCUUAAUGCACUUUUCGGUUAACAAGUCAACAUCAAUUUCUUUUGUUGUAAAAGGGUAUGAGGAAGGUGGCUUUCUUUUCGGAGAAAGUGUUUAUAGCCUUGUACCUCUGCAAUCGGAGAGAUUGAGGUCUGCAGCGUAGAUCCUUCGGGGUUAGAUACAUUUGUGCUAAGUUAUAGCUUUUCAUAGACAACUUGUUGACUAUGUUUAGUCUUGUAGCUUACUCGCUUAUGCUAUUUUACCUACGCUUAGGAUGUUGAAGAUGUAGCACAUCAU
RNAcentral lists this ribosomal RNA (775 nucleotides) under uncultured Neocallimastigales. RNAcentral's name for it is "partial large subunit ribosomal RNA". It matches the Rfam family "Eukaryotic large subunit ribosomal RNA", at positions 23 to 635 of the family's 3401-position model. Lineage: Eukaryota; Fungi; Neocallimastigomycota; Neocallimastigomycetes; Neocallimastigales. The record is from RNAcentral.